Molecule: ribosomal RNA, 477 nt
Filed under: uncultured bacterium
Lineage: Bacteria
Description: bacterial SSU rRNA
Rfam family: Bacterial small subunit ribosomal RNA
Source: RNAcentral
AUUGAACGCUGGCGGCAUGCUUUACACAUGCAAGUCGAGCGGCAGCGCGGGGGCAACCCUGGCGGCGAGCGGCGAACGGGUGAGUAAUGCAUCGGAACGUAUCCUGUAGUGGGGAAUAACUCACCGAAAGGUGAGCUAAUACCGCAUAAGCUCUGAGGAGGGAAGCGGGGGACCGAAAGGCCUCGCGCUGCAGGAGCGGCCGAUGUCCGAUUAGCUAGUUGGUGAGGUAAAGGCUCACCAAGGCGACGAUCGGUAGCUGGUCUGAGGGGAUGAUCAGCCACACUGGGACUGAGACACGGCCCAGACUCCUACGGGAGGCAGCAGUGGGGAAUCUUGCGCAAUGGGCGAAAGCCUGACGCAGCAACGCCGCGUGGGGGAUGAAGGCUCUCGGGUUGUAAACCCCUUUCAGCAGGGACGAAUCAAGACGGUACCUGCAGAAGAAGCCCCGGCUAACUACGUGCCAGCAGCCGCGGUAAU